UACGUAGGGUGCGAGCGUUGUCCGGAAUUAUUGGGCGUAAAGGGCUCGUAGGCGGUUUGUCGCGUCGGGAGUGAAAACUCAGGGCUUAACCCUGAGCCUGCUCCCGAUACGGGCAGACUAGAGGUAUGCAGGGGAGAACGGAAUUCCUGGUGUAGCGGUGAAAUGCGCAGAUAUCAGGAGGAACACCGGUGGCGAAGGCGGUUCUCUGGGCCUUACCUGACGCUGAGGAGCGAAAGCGUGGGUAGCGAACAGG
This 253-nucleotide ribosomal RNA is filed under the name uncultured bacterium. RNAcentral's name for it is "partial 16S ribosomal RNA". It matches the Rfam family "Bacterial small subunit ribosomal RNA", at positions 524 to 776 of the family's 1533-position model. The record is from RNAcentral.